GGUCCAGUAGUGGGUGGUUCCGCGUCUGCAAUUCUUAGCAAGGCGGGAAUGUAAGCAGAAUAUGCUCGUUCGAAUCGAGCCUGGGCCG
Molecule: non-coding RNA, 88 nt
Organism: Mycena rebaudengoi
Lineage: Eukaryota; Fungi; Basidiomycota; Agaricomycetes; Agaricales; Mycenaceae
Source: the annotation of a GenBank genome assembly